GGGGAUAUAGCUCAGUGGGUAGAGUGCUAGCCUCACAUGCAUAAGUCCCUGGGUUCAAUUCCCAGCCCCA
Non-coding RNA from Ictidomys tridecemlineatus (thirteen-lined ground squirrel), 70 nucleotides. NCBI's taxonomy places the organism in Eukaryota, Metazoa, Chordata, Mammalia, Rodentia, Sciuridae. The record is from Rfam.